GGCAUUGUGGGUUUGGGGUUGUUUUUUUUUCAUCCUAGAGAACACUGUAACAUUUUUACUCUUUUUUUUCUUCCUUUUAAAUAACUGCACCAGCUUUGCUGACAUAAUGUUACAAGUGACAGGAAAAAGGAAGCAUUUGUCAUUGUAAAUGCUGUCAAGAGAAAAAAAUAUUUUGUACGCUCCCACGUACAGCAAACUAGGUCUUAUGCUUGUUCAUUGAUUGCUGCGUCCAUUGUGUGGCAAUGAAAUAAAAAGAAUUGCACCUCCUGCCCAAACAAAAGGGAACACCCAGAUCUCAUAACGGGCCCUUUUCAUAUGGAAGAGCAAAUGACAGAGAGAUGCGGAGUUUAAUGAGCUCUUCUUAGUACCAAACAUCCACUGAAAUGCCGGAACGUUUCCCAGUGUAUGCCACAGCCCAGCUCCACACGUACAUACAAAAAUGAGAAUCCCAAUGGUUACAUAUGCUCUAAGAGUUCUUCAGUAAGCAUCGGACACGUCUUUUUACACCGCUUUAAGACUUUCUGCAGCUGCAAGACCAAGCUCUGUGCAACUUCCCUAGGAUAAGAAACUAUCAGCAUAAGAAACCAUCCCCGCACCUUUGACAAGCUCAUCGAGUCUGUGUCAUCCCCCUGCCCACACACAGACGCCUAUUAAUACAGCCGGCAGGGUCGCCCAGAACUGCAGGAUUACUACACAACACGUACCCAUCUGUAACUACACACACGUCUACUAUACGGGUCCAUCGCUUUGCUUUCAACGUCAUCUUUCCGAGAACGACAAAGAUCGCUCCUUCCCCCUCGACCAACAAUGAGCUCCCUCCACACUCGACGCUGCUCUGCCCAACCGGGCCCCCGGGGAACCGCAGAGCUUUCCGAGGGCGCUCAGCCCUCCGCCCGAACCCCGAGUCCCGUUCGGGGAUCCCUGCUGCGAUCGCACGUCCUCCUUCAUCCUCCUUCAAGCGAGCGGCGCUGAUUGCGCAUCCCACUUCCGUCACGGACUUCCCUUAAAAACCCACAUUAACGCGGCUUUUAUUAUUCUCAUUACUAUUACAGCCGUCAUCUUUAUUUUCACACGCCGAGGUGGCGAUCCCCCCCAUCUCUCGGCCGUUAUGUCAAUGAAGCAUCAAAAUAUCUUCUAUCGUGGACAAGUCAAAUGAACACGAAGAAAGCGAACAGCUUGUGAUAGGAAAUGCGAUUGGAUGCCUGGUUAAAGCAUGUCCUGGUGCAACACUGGAAAAGGCUGCCCAGGGAAGUGGUGGAGUCUCCUUCUCUGGAGAUAUUCAAGUCCCAACUGGACGCCUACCUGUGUGACAUGGUGUAGGGAACCUGCUUUGGCAGGGGGGUUGGACUCGAUGAUCUCUAGAGGUCCCUUCCAACCCCUACAAUUCUGUGAUUCUGUGAACAGUGGUUCUUCUGUUGCACUGCCACCGUUAUCUAAAGGAGAGGUUGGAGGGAUAAUGCUAAAGAGGGCUGCUAAGCACCUUCAGAAAGUAAUAAAGCUGAAGAAUAGCUCUCAAAUGCUUGUAGUAAAUUGUAGGAAACAUGGCUACAUCCAGUUGAAAAUCAUAUGGCUUCAAGAAUUAGAUUCCUGAGCCUUUGCAAGUGUUAAAAGCAAAAGUAACUUCAAGAGAUAAUGUGGCUUUGUUAGUUUAUCACAGUCAGGUGAUGUGGAAGAUGUUUUUCCAAGGUUUGUGUUAAGCUGAGGUUGUACAGCUUGCUGAAAAGCUUCUGUGCAACCACCCUUGCCCUAAUUUCUCCUACAGAGAUGAGAUUAGUUUGACUGAAAAGAGUUUUUUUAAUGUUUUUCUUUCAGGCAAUGGGCACAGGAAAAUGUUUCAAAUUAGCAUCCCGCUGGCAGAAGCGGUUGCAACGUGAAUUCCUUUCUAGCUGGCCUAGCAGCAGCCACCAAGCAGAAACCAACUGGAAUAAAUGCUUCUGCUCCUGAGCAAACCAGAAGCAGACCUGAGAGCAGGAAUUAGAUGAUAUUCUGCACCAGCACAGAAUAAACUGCAUGAGAACCAUUUAGUGCAUUGAUUGAUAUCAAGCGGUUGCAGUUUACUUCUUUUACCUGCCCUAGAGGCAGUCCUUAUGGAGAAACCUUCAACAACCAAACACAUCCAUAACCUUUGCAGUAUUCAAAAGGACUGUAGCAAUAGUUGGGUUCACGCUUACAUUCAUGAUACAACAUUUUCUGAAGAUUAAAUUAAAUGGUUAUGAUAGGAAAACAAUGUUCUGGUUGAGAUACUAAACAUUUGUGAUUACGUAUGGAUAUCAUGCACAAGGUAUUAAUACUGUGACUUUAAGGAAUCAUGUUUCUUACUCCAGUUUAUCUUGAUAACUUUAGGUUUAAAACUUCCCAGGAAGGUGAGGGGAGAGUAUGAAUUGUCUAUGUAAAGAACAUUGCAUAUGGAAGAGUUGUGUGAGUUUGCAUACUUUGGAAGCUUGGUAUUAGAGAACAACCUUGUUCUCCACCCUCAGCUCCAACUUUGUUUCUCAGUUUUUGUCAGUCCAUAUUUGAUUUUGCACCAAUUACAGCAAUAAACUCAAUAGAAGAAAAGUACACUUGUAAAAUAAAAUAUUUUAAGGGUACCAUGACCUGCUAAAUAUCAAUAUUGCUAAGACUGAGAGACUUUUUUUUUUUUUAAUUGCCUACCAGGAUUUUUUAAAUCUAAAUAAGUUGAAAUAAUCUCUAUUUUGUGAAUGUACGCACAUAUAUAAAGGCAUUUGAUUUCAUAGAAGUAAAUUUUUCCGAAAGAUUUAUACCUGAGAAAGACGAAAGCUGUAAAAUGUGUAUUGUUUCAUUUGUAUGUCCUUUAUUUUUCAUGUGUGGUGUCUUACUUGGGUUGAACGGUCAUUCUAAAACCAUUAUGUCAGUGCACAAAUAUCUUUAUUCCAGGCAAAGAGAUCUCUUGUGAAGAAAGAAGCAUGCACAGUAUCCAGACCAAGAAGUGCCACUAUGUCACCAUGUUUAUCCUUAAUGGAAUAUUCAAGCUGGAUGUUGCUCAGGUUCUUUUCCUUCACAAUUUGCUGUCUGCUUCAUGAAGAUAAAGAUUGCCUGAUUUUUCUAUUUCUAAGACAAAUAAAGAAGCGCAACAGCUUGA
This is a non-coding RNA of Coturnix japonica (Japanese quail), 3100 nucleotides long. The record is from RefSeq and is a predicted model, not a curated record. NCBI's taxonomy places the organism in Eukaryota, Metazoa, Chordata, Aves, Galliformes, Phasianidae.